This 491-nucleotide ribosomal RNA is filed under the name uncultured Glomus. RNAcentral's name for it is "SSU rRNA". It matches the Rfam family "Eukaryotic small subunit ribosomal RNA", at positions 573 to 1069 of the family's 1831-position model. Lineage: Eukaryota; Fungi; Glomeromycota; Glomeromycetes; Glomerales; Glomeraceae. The record is from RNAcentral.
GCCGCGGUAAUUCCAGCUCCAAUAGCGUAUAUUAAAGUUGUUGCAGUUAAAAAGCUCGUAGUUGAAUUUCGGGAUCAGUACGCUGGUCAUGCCUUUGGUAUGCACUGGUGUCACUGGUUUCUCCCUUCUGAAGAACCGUGAUGUCAUUAAUUUGGUGUCGCGGGGAAUCAGGACUGUUACUUUGAAAAAAUUAGAGUGUUUAAAGCAGGCUCGCGCUUGAAUACAUUAGCAUGGAAUAAUGAAAUAGGACGUUGAUCCUAUUUUGUUGGUUUCUAGGAUUGACGUAAUGAUUAAUAGGGAUAGUUGGGGGCAUUAGUAUUCAAUUGUCAGAGGUGAAAUUCUUGGAUUUAUUGAAGACUAACUACUGCGAAAGCAUUUGCCAAGGAUGUUUUCAUUAAUCAAGAACGAAAGUUAGGGGAUCGAAGACGAUCAGAUACCGUCGUAGUCUUAACCAUAAACUAUGCCGACUAGGGAUCGGAUGAUGUUAUUUU